Long non-coding RNA from Clupea harengus (Atlantic herring), 1284 nucleotides. Lineage: Eukaryota; Metazoa; Chordata; Actinopteri; Clupeiformes; Clupeidae. The record is from Ensembl.
UGCCCUUGUUAAAUGUAAUUUAUUUCAAAAGCUGUCCAAUAAAAAUGAAUGGAUUUUCUUCACUGAACUCAAAUUUGACUGAAGUUGGUGGUUGUUUGAGAUAUACUCUGGGACAUGUUAUGUUAACUAUCUAUGUUAGGAGCACUUGAAAGCAGUUAGAUGACAAACAAACAAACAAACAAACAAAAUUAAAUCUGAACAAAAAUGAAAACAAAAGUGAAAACCUUGACAUAAUCAGCUCAAAACAAAUAUAUUUCUUUCCUGAGAAUUUUAUCUGGAAUGAAUACAAGUAAUAAAUUAAAAAACCUUUUUCCCCCCAGAAAAUACAAGGAAAAAUAUAAGAGAAAAUCUCAAUGCUGUACACAGAAGAAUUACGUACACCUGUCAGUCACAUCAGCAUGUGGCAUUGCAUCUGUUUACGUCUGAAGUUGUAUAUGUUUAUUUUUAUAUUAACGUCUUUGUCUGUGUUUAUGAUAUGCAUGUUUGUGUUUUUGCCUGAUGAGUGUGUUAUAUGCAUGUUUGUGUUUAUGUUUUUGCCUGAUGUGUGUGUUUAUGAUAUGCAUGUUUGUGUUUAUUUGUCAGAUGCAUGUUUAUGAUAUGCAUGUUUGUGUUUGUUUGACAGAUGCAUGUUUAUGAUACGCAUGUUUGUGUUUGUUUGUCAGAUGCAUGUUUAUGAUAUGCAUGUUUGUGUUUAUGUCAGAUGUACAUGUUUAUGAAUAAUGAUGUGUAUGCUUGUGCCUGAUGUGUAUGUUUAUGAUGUGUAUAUUUGUGUUUAUGUCUGAUGUAAAUGUUUAUGAACAAUGAUGUGUAUGUUUGUGUUUAUGUCUGAUGUGUAUAUUUAUGAACAGUGAUGUGUAUGUUUGUAUUUAUGUUUUUGUCUGAUGAUGUGAAUGUUCAUGUGUGUAUGUGUUUUUGUUUAUGUCUGAUGACAUAUGUUUGUGUCCUUUGCUGUCAUACUCAGCAGGCAUCUCUGCCAUAAAACCUCUCUGUAUUAUCAGUCCACAGUAAAUACAAAUAAAAGAAACUACCAUGGAUUUCAACCAAAUAUACAUAUCAGUACCAGAUUGAAAACGUAUCAAAUAUCAGAGAGGAUUACUCCAUUCGCCGGUUGAGACUUAAAAAAAAGGGUGGUGGUUCAAUGUGACGUUGAAUUCUGCUACACUGUAUUGUUUUAUAUUGUUCUGUAGACUCUGAAGUGACUCUCCACUUGCUAAAAUGAUCUGGGGGUUAUUCCAAGAAUGUGGUUGAGUUACAAACCAGGCUAAAUUAACUCAGAGCAAGUGG